UCCCUGGCGGUCCAGUGGUUAGGACAUAGUGCUUUCACUGUUGGGGACUGGGUUCGAUUCCUGGUCAGGGAA
This 72-nucleotide transfer RNA is filed under the name Bos taurus (domestic cattle). It matches the Rfam family "tRNA". Rfam says of the family: Transfer RNA (tRNA) molecules are approximately 80 nucleotides in length. Their secondary structure includes four short double-helical elements and three loops (D, anti-codon, and T loops). Further hydrogen bonds mediate the characteristic L-shaped molecular structure. tRNAs have two regions of fundamental functional importance: the anti-codon, which is responsible for specific mRNA codon recognition, and the 3' end, to which the tRNAs corresponding amino acid is attached (by aminoacyl-tRNA synthetases). tRNAs cope with the degeneracy of the genetic code in two manners: having more than one tRNA (with a specific anti-codon) for a particular amino acid; and 'wobble' base-pairing, i.e. permitting non-standard base-pairing at the 3rd anti-codon position. Lineage: Eukaryota; Metazoa; Chordata; Mammalia; Artiodactyla; Bovidae. The record is from Rfam by way of RNAcentral. RNAcentral also lists the same sequence under 4 other names.